CACUUUGUGAUCCAUGACUGGGGUGAAGUCGUAACAAGGUAACCGUAGGGGAACCUGCGGUUGGAUCACCUCCUUA
This 76-nucleotide ribosomal RNA is filed under the name Klebsiella pneumoniae. RNAcentral's name for it is "partial 16S ribosomal RNA". It matches the Rfam family "Bacterial small subunit ribosomal RNA", at positions 1458 to 1533 of the family's 1533-position model. The record is from RNAcentral. Lineage: Bacteria; Pseudomonadati; Pseudomonadota; Gammaproteobacteria; Enterobacterales; Enterobacteriaceae.